This 297-nucleotide ribosomal RNA is filed under the name uncultured Synechococcus sp. RNAcentral describes it as "partial 16S ribosomal RNA". It matches the Rfam family "Bacterial small subunit ribosomal RNA", at positions 1239 to 1533 of the family's 1533-position model. The record is from RNAcentral. Lineage: Bacteria; Bacillati; Cyanobacteriota; Cyanophyceae; Synechococcales; Synechococcaceae.
ACAAAGAGCAGCUAACUCGCGAGAGUACGCAAAUCUCAUAAACCGUGGCUCAGUUCAGAUCGUAGGCUGCAACUCGCCUACGUGAAGGAGGAAUCGCUAGUAAUCGCAGGUCAGCAUACUGCGGUGAAUACGUUCCCGGGCCUUGUACACACCGCCCGUCACACCAUGGAAGUUGGCCACGCCCGAAGUCGUUACUCCAACCCUCUGGGAGGAGGACGCCGAAGGUGGGGCUGAUGACUGGGGUGAAGUCGUAACAAGGUAGCCGUACCGGAAGGUGCGGCUGGAUCACCUCCUAAC